RNAcentral lists this long non-coding RNA (12310 nucleotides) under Vitis vinifera (wine grape). Its description in RNAcentral is "long non-coding RNA (VVIN_LNC001702)". Lineage: Eukaryota; Viridiplantae; Streptophyta; Magnoliopsida; Vitales; Vitaceae. The record is from RNAcentral.
UUCUGGGUCGGACCAUUCAUUGGAGCUGCCAUUGCUGCAUUCUACCACCAGUAUAUUCUGAGAGCAGCGGCCAUUAAAGCUCUAGGAUCUUUCAGGAGCAAUGCCUAGGUUUUGGACGCUAGCUGGUGAUGGUGAUGGUGAUGGUUUCUGCAACAAGAAUAACAUCAAUGGUGGAGGAGUAUUAGUACAUGCAAAUCGGUCUCAAUCUCUUUCCAGUGUUUUUUCUCUUCUAUCUGCCCCCUCUCUCUCCCUCUCUCCCUCUCUCCCUCCCUUGGAACCAUGGAAUUGUAGAUAAAUUUGGCUUUUAUCUGGCCAUGUCUCUUUAAAUAUAUUUCAAGUGCUGUAUGUUGUCAUCUUUUUUCUUUUCCCUCCUCUCUCUCUCUCUUUCUACUUGGUGUAUUCAUAAUGAUGCUUCCACAUUAUUCUAGUAAAUGGCUAUGCUCCUCAAUCUCCAUCACCCCUUUCCUUUUUCCCUUCUUUUUCGCUUGGAAUGGUGUCAUCUUCAUGCUUCCAUCUUAAGGUAGCUCUACUCUAGGUCGUUUUAGUGGAAAGAAGGAUCACAAUAUUUUAGAUCGAAAUCAAGAUGAUACCAAGACAUAAAUUUUUAAAAAGUUGGAGGGCAAUAAUGACUUGUUUUUUAUUCAAGAACCCUAUCUGAUAAGAUCAACAACUCUUGUGAUAAAGCAUCUUUAAUUUUCUAAUGUACUAACUAGUCAAUGGGACUUUGUUAACUUUAAAAUGAUCUUCUACCAGACUAGAUAGCAAGAAGGAACUUUUCAUUAACCAUCACUUGAAUCCGAAAAAUUGCAUAACAAAAUCUUUGAUCAUGUUUCUUCAACUGUUUCCAUUAAAGAAUUCAUUCAAAAACUUCAGAUUACUCUUGCAUUGAAUUGAAGAACACUUCGAUCAACAAAAAAGUUUAGACAGGUGUCUCCUCACACUGCUCAUCAUACCUUCAGCCCUCUUUAUGACUAUGGACAUCAUUUUCACUAAGCAGCAAUACUUGUUUUAUUUUCCCAACUUUUUUAUUGCUUCAUUCUAAGCAUUCUUAUCCUCAAUCCAUUUAACUACUAUAUGAUCACCAGUUUAAUUAAUAUAGAAGUAGAAAGUGAAAGCCAAAAAUGAUGGUAGGGUUGGCUUUUGUGGUGGUGGAUUCUUGGCAGUGAGAUGAUGGAUUUGAUUCUUUAUUAGUAGUUGCCGAGAGGAAACAAUAAAGAAAAGAGAGGGGAAAAUGAAGAGAUUAUAAAAUAAGUAUUAGGUCAAUAAGGGCUUGGGAUUCCAUGGUCUAAUUAUCAACCUUAUCUCUGUCUUUAUUUUAUGACUUUAAGGGUCAUUUUGUAGGGCAGAGUAGGUGGAGAUAUAGCUGUUUGAUGCAUGACACACUUUUUGGCUUAAAUUAUGGGGGAGUUGAGAGGUGGGGUUUUUGCUAUUUGGGCUUACAUAAUGGGAGAGAGACGUUUUGGCUGAUUUCUAAUGCCCUAGUCUUCAUUCUCUGCAUUUUCUCAUUCCAUUGUACACGCCAUCUCUCUGUAGCUUCUUAAAGCUAAUAAAAGUAAUGUUAAGUUUUUUCUCAUUUUAAUUUUUCUAUAAUAUUUAUUUGUAUUGGGAAGUAGGCUGAAAAACAUAAGUUUGAUUUUCCUUUUUUUUUUUUUUAAAAAAAAAAAGAAAGAAAUCAAAAAAUUAUUUCUUCAAACAAGAUUGUAUCAAUAUUGUUGAUUUAGUAAAGGAUUACAUAAACAAUAAUGGAAGUUUGAUGACUUUGAUCCUGUCUUCAUUUGUUCUUUUUAUUAGAAUGUAUAUUGUUUAAAAUUUAAAAUUUCCAUAAUAAUCCAUUUAGAAAUAAUUUUGAAAGGGAUUAAGAGUCAGUUUAAUAGUAUUUUUUCCUCAAAACAUUUUUUAGUGAGUGUUUGAAAGGGAUUAAAAGUGUGUUUAAUAGUAUUUUUAUGAAAAUUAUCUAUAAAGUGUUUUUUCAAAAAAUAUUAUAAGUGAUUAUUCAAUACUAUAAGAGUAAGUAUGAUAUUGAUUCUAAAAAACAUUUCUAACUUUUCAAACACUUGAAUGAUAAAAAAUUUUAAAUAUUAAAAAUGUUAGAAACGCUUCUUGAAAUUACUGUCAAAUAGGCUUUAAGUGAUUUUCCAAAUUUUGAAAACUGUUUUUUAAAAUUUAUCAAAUACCUUUUUUUCGUUUUAAAAAAGAAAACACUUUUCAGACGAAACAUUUUUAGAAAUCAUUAUCAAACAGACUCUAAAAAUAUAUUGUGUUUAAUAAAAUUUUUGAAAAUCACUUUUAAAAUUUUUGAUAAUCAUGUAAAUACUUUUUAUCAUAUAACAAAUUACUAAAAAUGUUAUCAAAACACAUUUAAAAUUUACAUAUGAUUUUUCUUAAAAGCGUUUCUAAUAUGAUUAAAGUGUUAUAGAUUUUUCUUCAAACCAUUCCCAAAUGGGCUGUAGAUCGAAUGAAGAAGCCUUUGCUAAGUUUUGAUUUAAAAAAUAUCAUGAAUUCAGAAACAUAACAUAAGUAAAAUAAGAACAUGAUUUAAAAAGUAAUAAGAAAAGAUAUUUUCAUUCUUAAACAAUUCAUUUUCUUUUCAAACUAGUUACGAAGAUGGUUGAAAUUCUUUAACAAUCUCCCUAAUUAUAAAAAAAAAAAAAAGAAGGAAGAAAAGUGAUUCUAAGGGUUUUCAUGUAGGAGAGCCACAAUUAGAACUACACGAAUGUUAACUUGAUUAACCAUAGGAUUAAAUGUCUCAAUAAAGUCAAAACCAACAAGUUGAUUGUAGUCUUUGGCAACUAGUCUAGCCUUAUAUUGAAAGACAAAACCAUGAACAUUUCUUUUGAUUUUAAAGAUCCAUUUGCAACUUAUAAGCUUUCUAUUUAAAGGAGGAGAAAUUGGGGUCUAUAUGUUAUUCUUGUUGAGAGCAGUGAACUCUUCUUCCAUGGUUUGUUUCCAUUUCACAUUUGAUAAGGUUGCAGCAACAGUGGAUGGUUCUACAUCCUCAUUCAUAGAAGCAAUGGGAACUUUGGGUCUAAAAAUGCCUACCUUGGCCCAAGUAACCAUGAGAUGAGUAUUGGUAUGAGUAAGGCCACAUGAGGCCUGAUCAACUGGUGCAAGGGUUGAAGAAUGAGAUGGUAAGAAUUUAAAUUCAGGAAUAGAAGAUAAGAAGAUGUAUUAAGGGAAGAAUCAAUAGAACGGAUAGAUAGAGAUAGAAUUGAAGGUGGAAUAAGAGGAGGGGCAAAAGGUAGAAAGAAGACAGUUGGUUGUAGAUUAAUAGAUAGAAAAUGAGAUAAAGAGGGAAUGCUCUAAAACUGAAAAACAGUUUCAUUGAAAGUAACAUACUUGGAGAUAUAUACUCGACCAUUGGAGGUAAGACAUUUGUAGCCUUUAUGGGAAGGACUAUAACCAAGGAAAGCACGAGAGAGAGAUUUGUACUCAAGUUUGUGACUGUUGUAAGGUUGAAUGUAAGAGAAACAUUGACCACCAAAGAACUUGAACUCAAGAGUAGUUAGUUGAACUUUAAAGAGGACUUCUAAUGGACUUCCGUUGUUAAGAAUAGAAAUGGGAAGCUGAUUAAUGAUGUGAACAGUAGUAGUGAAAGUUGCAUCCUAAUAUUGAAUUGGGAAGUUGGCUUGAGCAACGAAAGAGAGACUUUUUCCAACAAUGUCUCCAUAUUUCCUUUCUGCAACACCAUUUUGUUCAAGGGUAUGGGAGCAUGAGAGUUGAUGAACAACUCCAAAAUUAUGAAAUGGUGAAGUAAGAGAAUGAAAUUCUCCACCCUAAUUUGUUCUAAGAGUUUUUAAUUUUCAAUUAGGAUGAAGUUUUGCUUGUGUUUUGAAAUUAUGAAAAUUUGAAUACACUUCAGAUUUAGCUUUAAGGAAGUAAAGCCAUGUGAAUCUUGAAUAAACAUCUAUAAAUCUCACAUAAUAUUGAAAACCAUUAUGAGAGGGUGAGAGCAAGGACCCAAACAUUUAAGUGAACAAACUCUAAUGGAGUGUUAUGAGCAAAAUUUGAAGUUGGAAAAAGUAACUUGUGGCUUUUGCCCAAUUGAUAAUUAAGCUAUAUAAAAUGAAAAAUUCUCAUUACUAGAAAAUUUUCUUUUGCAUUGAUUCAAGAGAAUUGUGACAAUCUUAUAACUUGGAUGACCAAGUCUUUGAUAAGCUAUGUAAAAUGAAAAAUUCUCAUUACUAGAAAAUUUUCUUUUACAUUGAUUCAAGAGAAUUUUGACAAUCUUAUCAGUUGGAUGACCAAGUCUUUGAUACCUAAGAUCAAGGUUAGACAUUGAGCUUUGAUUACAAUGAAUUGAAUUGAAAUUUGAACUAGAACAUAAGUUGGUUGUUUACUAUAAACCUUGGAGACUGAAGGGUGUUGGAGAACCGAUUUGUUGAAGAUGAAGCUAGAGUAUGAUGACACCUAGUUGGACUGGUGAAAGACUGACUUGAAGGAUAUGAGAGUCUUGGAAGAUGAAAUUGAUAAAGUCCAUUCUUAAGAGUUCCUUUGAGUACAAUGGCUCUAAUAACCACAUCCUUUACCAAAUAAAGAGAAUAGUGAAAUUCAAAGUAAACUCCAUUAUCCUUGGCAAAUUUUGAGACACUAAUGAGAUUUUUAGCUAUUUUUGGAACGUAAGAAGCUUCUUAAAAUGAAGAAUUUAAAAGAAUGAAGACUUGAAAAAAAUAGAAUGUCUAACAUGAGAAAUAACCAAACUCGUACCAUCACCCAUAUGCAGCUUAUUAGGGCCAUGAUAAUCAACUCCUACGCUUAGGUUGUUGAAUUCAUUUGUGACAUGAUUGUUACACCAGUGUCUAGAAACCAAGCCUCAUCAUCUUGAGUGUUUGGUGUUGUAGGCAUAGCUUGCAUUGCUAGAGGAUCCUAAGAUGGUAGUGCCAGUAUGUGAAUUUAAGGGGUAACCGGAAAUACCAGUAAAGAAUGGGUUAAAACAAUGGUAACAUUUGAGAACAGUGUGAUCCAUUUUCCUAUAGAGUUGACAUUGAGGCUUAUUAAUACUUCUAUCACCAUAUCCUCAACCUUUGCCUCAUGUACCACUAUGAAACUUGGUGCAUGAAUUACCAUGAAUUUGUGAGUUCUAUAAUGAAUUUCUCUAAUCAAGAUGAGUGAAUUCCUUUUAUGGAUUCUUAACAGGUGACCUCAGUUGUUGGGACGAUAUUAGAGGCAUUGGUAUUAUAGUGCUCAAGCCAUUUUUCAUGUGUAAGCAACAAUGCAAUUACAUGAGUCAGUUUGUGGACAUUCUUAUAUGUGAUUUGCUUAAUGAUGGAUUCAUAAUCAUGGCCUAAUCCAUCGGUAAUAGCUAGUAUCUAAUCUCUUAUGGAAAGAAUAUCACAAACCAAGGCAAAUGAAUCCAUAAUGGUCUUCAUUUUGUUCAAAUAAUCUCUCAUAGCUAAACUACCUUCUGUAAUUCAAAUAUGAAUUGCAUUAAAUGAGCUCGGUUUUGAGUCAAGGUAGCUCAAAUCUCAUGAGAAGUAGUGCAUCCAACCAAUUGGGAAGGAUACUUAUGGAAAUUGAGCCAAGAAGCCAAGAGACGGUCAACAUAUCUUAACAUUGCCACAAUUCAUAAUCUAGGUUGAGGACAGAAAAGGGUGCCUAAAGUAAAACCAUCAAACCCUAAUCACGAAUUACAACAUAGAUUUGUUGUUUUCUAAGAAGAAAGUUAUCCUCAUCAAGCUUCAUUGCAAUUGGCAAUGUGGUUGGAUUCAUCACUUGAAUCAACGAAGAUGAUGAACCAAAAAGUGUUGAUAUAAUCAUUUUAUUGAACAGUGAUAUCGGAGUGAAGUCUAAUAGCUCUGAUACCGUGAAGAGAAAUGAUAGCAUGAGAGAAAUCUGAGUUGCCCUUAUUUUAUUCCUUUUUGUGUUAUACUUGGUACAAAGAUAUUUUUAUAUACCUAUAAUCACACUAGCAUUAGUGUUUCUUAAAAUACAAAAAACAAACAAACAAAACAAAACAAAACAUGAUUAUGCAAAAAGAGACACUUUGCUACUUUAGCACCCUCAUUACACAGCUUUUAUGUAGGCGCAACCCACAAUUGGCAUGGUCUUCAGCGUCAAAUUCCUAAUCGCUACUAACUUCUACAUUUCUGUUUUCAUGAUCUUCAUUAAGUUCAGGAAGGUUAAGAAUUAGGGAACGAGACCUUUUCAAAGGACAUAAGAAGUAUGUACUCUCCUUUUCCAUCUUCUUCAGAAUGUAUAGGAAAAGGAUGUCACCAAGGGCCAAGAUCUAAGUGUUGUUGGUGAUUAAUGACACUUGGGUUAACCUUGCACAGAUGGAGUUGAAAAAAAUGGAGGAACAUGCGUCUUGGGAGGUGAAAUGGGAAACACAAGCUGGCUUGAAAGUGGGUAUGGUGCAGGGUGGUCUUGCUAUGGUUACCUACGGGGAAAUUCGAUUUCUCAUAGUGGGGUAACAAACAGAUAUGAACUCUCCAUCUACCCAAUAUAUAAACUUAAACAUGUCCUCCGGAUCGUUAAGGUUUCUUGAAUCUGCCAUGGAUGCAGAAAAAAUGGUACCCUCGGGAAUUUAGGAAAGAAAAAUAGGAAGUCAAGAACAAAUUGCAGAAAAUUUCCUAAUACCUAUUUUAUUGGUAAAAGCAAAACUUAAAAAGGUACCCUCCAGCCCUUAGAAGAAAUAGGAUUCCUCCAUUCCUCCAUUCCUCCAUUCACAUAGGGACGGGUCCACAUUUCCUAGUGGGAUUCUUUGAAAGCCCAUCAUAUUCACAUGGGCUUUGUUGAAAGGGUAUGGACCAUGGAAUCAUGGACUAAUGACACGAAAAGAACAGAGAAUCAUCUCUGUCCUCCCCUGUUUACACACACAGACAAGUCUUGUGAUUUGGGAGGUGGUGCUCUGGUAAAACAUGUGAAGCCCAAAGGGCCCAUUAACUCGGACAAGGAUCCUGUGCAAAUCAUAAAUGGGCCUUCCCACAUGAAGGAUAGGUCACCAUCUGAAUGAAAAAGCAAACAAGUGGAAUAUGAUAAGGAAGAAAGCGUGAGCAAGACACAUAAUUUUAAUGUAAAAUGUAGAGGAAAAGAAUUGCAUUGAUUUCAGGUUUGGCAUGCGCCUCCCCCUCUGCAAUAAUGUCCCCAAGGCAGGUGAGGAAAUACAUACACUCCAUUAUAAUAAUUACACUCAUCAAAUUUAUAUAUGUGUAUAUAUAUAUAUAUAUAUAGAGAGAGAGAGAGAGAGAGAGAGAAAGGGAGAUAUGCCCUUUGCUGAUCCUUGAAGCCAAGCAAAAGUGAAAACGCUUCAUGCUUCCAUUACUUAGAACCAUUAACAAAGGCAACAACACAUAAAAACAAGGCCGCUCUUCCAAUUCUGCACUCACUUAUUGAUGGGGAUAUAAUUUAACACGGCAAUGGAGAAUAGAAGACAUGAGUUUGAGGGCCAACAUAAUCAAUAAGCUUAUGAGGAGGAUUAAUCAUAAUAAGUGACAAUCAUACCUUGGUAACUUCAUCUCACUUCCUUCACUGCAGCUUUUUGCUUAACCAGGUGUCCCAUAUGGGAUUGAGCAAGUGCUAAAAAAUGAACCUUAGAAAGGGCAUUUUGGGGUGACCAACAUUGGCAGAGAACACAUUCCCAUCAUUUUGUUCCCUCUUGAAUUCAACUCCAAGGAACAAGCACUUCCCAAGGCAUUAUAAAAGCCAGUUCAAAGCCCCCAAAAUUUCAACACUCAAAAGCUCUUGCUUCUUUAGCCUCAAGUUAUUCAAAAGCAAAAGAAGUGAACAACAUGAAUCCAGCGGCUUCUUUCCUGCUCUUCUUUUCUCUUGCCCUUCUCUCCUUAGCUAGAGCUCAAGGAAGAGCACCCCAUGGGCUUGCUUAUGAGAACCCGAUGGCUUUCUCGCCAUCUGCAUUUGAUUUCUUCCAUCCGAACGGCCAAAAACCAAGCACCCAAAACCCUUGUGCUGCAUCAAACUGCUCACCAUUGCCUAUGGCAGCGCAGGUGGAAGCCAGUCUAGCGCAUCAAAGCAAAGCAUCAAGCAACCGGGUGGGAGCUGGAGGAAUUGCGGGCAUUGUGUUUGGGUUUGUGUUUGCUGUGCUUUUGGCAAUGGGUGUUUACUAUGUGGCGGUCACACGUCGAGCCAAUUUGACCCGAGCCAACUCUGUUCAGCCUGAUGCUUGAUUUACCUACUAUAAGCCACUGACAGCAAGCACCCAGGAUCAUUCCACAGUGAUAUGAUCUUCUUGUUCUCUUUUAUUUUUUGUAUUUUUCCCAAUUUGGGGUAAGAAAUGUUGUAUUUAUCAUCUUGUUACCAAUUAGCUACAUGGUAUUGUACUAUUAGAACUCUUGGCCAAAGCGAUUAUCAAACCAUCCAUCUUUAGGAGGGGAUAACAAAUGAAUUCUAUCACAGCCAUGGAGGGGGCAACAGGUUAUUGAGAUAAAACUACAUAUAUAUAUAUAUAUAAAAGGAAAUAAAGAUGUAAAAAGAAUCACAAGAGAAGAACAGACUUAAGUUCGAACAGUCAUGAUAAUCAUCAAUACUAAAAAUUGGAACAGAACUAAAGAUACCCAAUGCAGGAAAAGUCUCCUUUUGGAGCUUAUCUGGCAUUAUAAGUCAGCCAAACACUUCAAUAUGCCCUUUUUCCACCUUCUAAAUUGCAUCCACAACACAUGUUCUGAACAACAAGCCUUUUGUUCCGAAGCAUUUUAUUUUCUUCAUGUUUCUUGGACUACAUCACGAUCAUAGAGGUUUAAUGCAAACAAGGUCAGUAACUGAAAGUUCUGACAUUGAACCCCUAUAGAAGCAUUAUUAUUAAAGAGAGCUUCCAUUGUUAGAAUCCGAGGUUUUAUUCAUUUGUAACAGGCAUGACAUAAGGGGUUUUACUUCCUCCACAAUCCAUGAUAUAACAGAAUUAGAAAUUAAUCUCUUUAUGGUUAUAUCAAGGUGUCGAAUUUUGACCCAACAGUUUUUUAGUAGAGUUCCUUAAAGCAAGAAAGUUUAGAGAGCGCGCAAAAGGAUGGUGUAGAUAAAAAAGAGGCCCAACCAAGGGAUUUAUUUACUUCUAAGUCAGGCUGAACCAAAUUUUCCUAAUCAUAAUAUUUUUUGCAAAUACUUAAUUGGAAAAGAACACUAACUCAGGUUGAAAGCUAUCAUUGGUUAGUCCUAAACAGCCACAAGCCGGCUCUUAUCAAAAGGAGUCUCCCCAUUCAUACAUACAGUUCAACCAUGAACAUUUGAAAAGAAAAAUACAUGCCAAGAAAAGAAAAACCUAGGUGGAUCAUAUUUGCUGGGUUUGCAAAAUACGGCCAAAUUCUAAGGUUACAUACCAUAUAGAGAAAUUGCUAUCAUAUAAUCAUCAAGCAUCUUCCAGAGAUGGACAGAAAAACAGAAUGUGGGCUGUGUAUUAUGUGGGGUUAUUAUAAGGUGGCUGCUGUCUAAGGAUGAAUCCCUCAAAUAAUUCAGAAGAUUUAUAAGAUAAAAAUGGGGGAGCAAUUCACUUGUAUAAAGUAGAAAUAUAUUGGAAGUGAACUUAUUUGUACAUUUCUACCACCGAUACAAGCUAAGAGCUUCAGGUUGCAGGAAUAGAAAGGAAGUUCACAUAUCGGCAGUAAGAUUAUUCAAAACAUUUCUACCAUCCACGUGAACUAAGAGCUGCAAUGACAGGUCCCAGUGUCUUGUCCACAGUCUUGUUCCAUAGGUGGGCGAACUCCAAACGAGAUUUCUUUCCAAAUAUGGGCUCUGUUUUCUGGAAUAAGUUUGACAAAAAUAAAAACUAUUAGGCCAUGUUUUGACAAUGAGUAAUUCAAAGAAAAUGGAUCCAUGAGAAUGGAGAAGCUUAAAGAGACGUAAUGCUAUCAUAUGGUACACUCAAAGGGGGGAAAAAGUGUAUCUUCCAUUUGUUGACAAAGUAAAAGUCAAUGGCACCUGUUAUCAUGAGAAGUUAAAUCAAAACCGAUACAUAGAUCAAAAUUACACCUAUGUGCUAAUCCUCAGUUAAACACCACUACCAUAGAAUUUCAAUGCAAUCAAAUAUGAAUAAGGUACAGGCACAAAUAAUAAGUGCUGCACUUUGAUGCAGGUAUGGGGAUGCUCGACAUGGUUUACACCACAGAUUGUAGCAGGAAGGACUUUAUUCCCAUGCUCAUAUUUCAGCCCACCUAAAUUCCCCAAACCUCACUUGACCACAAGAUGCUUAAUUACAUGUACAAACCUGGGUCUUCCAGGGAUAUGUAGAUGCACAUACAUCCAGCUACCUUGUUGUCAUUCUUGCUCAUGAAAAGGUUGUCAAAUUUGAGAAAUUUGCAUUUUUAAAAGAUAAGAUAUUAGAUCCUCCUGGACAUAGUCCCUGGUGAUGUUCCACGAACUAGAUUGAGAAAGUAUGACUUCCUUUCUCAGAAAUGAACUCCUCACAAAAAUAGUUCUCAGUAACUCAUUUCUACAAUUCUUAAUCAAGAGGCUGUUGGUCAAAGCUGCAAGUUCUUCUGGCAGGUAAGAUACAGGCUGUGGGUCUAGUUCUGCAAAUCGGGAUGUGAUAAAGGGAAACUGAAAGAAUUUAGAAUGAUAAAUGAGGGCAUUUGUUAAGCAUCAUUUGAAGGAUGCAGCACAGCAAUGUGAUUAGUACAGAGAUUUGCAGCAGAAAAUGAAGAAAAGCAAAUGCCUUGAGAAACUCAACAGAAUAAGGUUUACACAAGACCACUCAUAUUUCACAAUCAAGGGCAACACAAGUAAAACAUUCCAGUGGGAUUCAUUAGGCAAAGCAAAGCCACCUGACCACCAGCAUGUCAAAGACUGCCCAGCCUUUUUAUUUUCUUGGUAAAUGUAGGCAAAGCACAUGGCUGAUCUUUCAACAGAAUUUCAUCUAAGUACUAGUAUCCACCAAGAGAACCCACUGCAUUUGGUAAAGUGGGCAACUGUGUCCUCAGCAAAACAGUAUGGAGUUUUGUUAAUUCAGAAUUUCCUAAUUCUGAAUAAGGCUUGGUUGGGUAAAUGGUUUUGAAGAUGGCAUUCUGAGGUGGGAAGGGGCAAUAGCCUCAGGUUUUUGGAAAGCUAUUCAAAGAGGGUGGGAAGAUUUUUUUUUCCCCCGACUUAUAUUCCUGUGGAUAAAAGGCCUAAGUUUUGGUGUGAUAUUUAGUGUGGGAGCACCAUAUUUAAAGAUCAUUUUUGGGAUCUUUUUUUCCAUCAAUUUAAACAAAAAUAUCCUGGUGGCAAAUUAUUGACAAAGGGAAGGUAGGAGUGACCAUAGGAAUCCAAGGUUCAUCAGGAGAUUUUAUGAUUGAAUUGAAAGAGGUGGAAUCCUUUUUUGUUUGUCUUCAGAAUGUGAUUAUGCAUGAAGAUAAGGAGGAUAAGUUAGCCUGGAAGUAAGCAAAAGAUGGAAGAUUUUUCCUGAAAUAAUUUCAUUACAUUUUAAGUGCAUAUUGUUAUAACUCUUUCCCACAUUGAAGGGUUUGACACCUCACUUGCAACCCCCAUAAAGUUGGUUUCUUUGAUUGAUAAGCAAUCUAGAAAAACAUUCUAACUUUGGACCAGAUUAUGCAACGGGAAGGGUUUUAGCCAAUUGUUGUCAUUUGUGCCAGCAGGAAGAAACUACUUGCCCAUCACAUAUUGGCACAGAGUUAUGGUCUUUAUUAUUCACAACUUUUGGCAUCACUUGGGCAUUUCUUGAGACAGAUAAGGAUACAUUAAUCAGUAGGUGCAGAGAGAUGGUGAGGAAAGGGAAAGGGAAGAUAUGUUUAUUUUGGUGUAAUUGGAAGGAAUACAAGAGGAGGGUCUUUGAUGGUUUGGAUUGUCUGAAAUUGCAGCUGAAAAAAGUCAGUAGGACAUGGAAGCCUUCUAUUAUAAAUUUGAUUGAUGUUUUGGGUAGUACUUUAAGAGUGAAGAGUCUGUUCCUUUUUCUUAUCUUUUGUCUUUAUGGUCUCUGUAUGCAUCAUGUGUACAUGGGGGGGUGUGUCUCCUUUUUGAUGCUUACUAUAUAAAAAUUUUACUUAUCAAUAAAAGAAAAAGUCUUACAGCUCAAGGGAGCAAACCAAACAGCUUUCUAAUCUUAUAAAUAAAAUAAUUCUCCAAUUAAGUCUCUCCAACAGUAAGCUUUUCAAUAUAUCAUUCAUGACCGUGUUUCUAACUUUUCAUAGAACCAAACAAUUAUAUAAGCCAUCCAAUAUAAUUUCUUUUGUUCCAUCACAAUUUAUAAUCAAAGGAAUAAAUGAAAAAAAAAAAGAUGUCAACUUCUCUAUGCUUUUUUCCCACACAAAUAGCACUGCCAAACAUGUAGAAAGAGGUGGAACCCUAAUAGUCAAGAAUAAACGGGACAGGACACAAUUCUUCUGCACUUUCUAAUUCAAUAUUUCUCGAGAACAAAUGCCUACCAAAAAAAAAA